This 371-nucleotide ribosomal RNA is filed under the name uncultured organism. RNAcentral's name for it is "bacterial SSU rRNA". It matches the Rfam family "Bacterial small subunit ribosomal RNA", at positions 526 to 896 of the family's 1533-position model. The record is from RNAcentral.
CGUAGGGUGCGAGCGUUAAUCGGAAUUACUGGGCGUAAAGCGUGCGCAGGCGGUUUUGUAAGCCAGAUGUGAAAGCCCCGGGCUCAACCUGGGAAUGGCAUUUGGGACUGCAAGGCUUGAGUGCGGCAGAGGAGACUGGAAUUCCUGGUGUAGCAGUGAAAUGCGUAGAUAUCAGGAGGAAUACCGAUGGCGAAGGCAGGUCUCUGGGCUGACACUGACGCUCAUGCACGAAAGCGUGGGGAGCAAACAGGAUUAGAUACCCUGGUAGUCCACGCCCUAAACGAUGUCGACUGGUUGUUGGGGGUUUGACACUCUCAGUAACGAAGCUAACGCGUGAAGUCGACCGCCUGGGGAGUACGGCCGCAAGGUUA